This 567-nucleotide ribosomal RNA is filed under the name uncultured bacterium. RNAcentral describes it as "bacterial SSU rRNA". It matches the Rfam family "Bacterial small subunit ribosomal RNA", at positions 338 to 916 of the family's 1533-position model. The record is from RNAcentral.
CCUACGGGAGGCAGCAGUGGGGAAUUUUCCGCAAUGGGCGAAAGCCUGACGGAGCAAUACCGCGUGAGGGAAGAAUGCCUACGGGUUGUAAACCUCUUUUAUCAGGGAGGAACAAAAUGACGUGUACCUGAUGAAUAAGCAUCGGCUAACUCUGUGCCAGCAGCCGCGGUAAGACAGAGGAUGCAAGUGUUAUCCGGAAUUACUGGGCGUAAAGCGUCUGUAGGUUGUUGAACAAGUCAACUGUUAAAUCUUGAAGCUCAACUUCAAAAUCGCAGUCGAAACUGUUUGACUAGAGUAUAGUAGAGGUAAAGGGAAUUUCCAGUGGAGCGGUGAAAUGCGUAGAUAUUGGAAAGAACACCGAUGGCGAAAGCACUUUACUGGGCUAUUACUGACACUCAGAGACGACAGCUAGGGUAGCAAAUGGGAUUAGAUACCCCAGUAGUCCUAGCCGUAAACUAUGGAUACUAGAUGUUGAACAGAUCGACCUGUGCAGUAUUAAAGCUAACGCGUUAAGUAUCCCGCCUGGGAAGUAUGNUCGCAAGAGUGAAACUCAAAGGAAAUUGACGG